GCAAACCCGAACGAGAGGUCGUUGCACUCUGCUGUGUGUGUGUUCUGUUCUGUUCGUCUGUACCGGCCCCCGGUUGUUAAAAAAAACAAUACAUUCAACUAUCAAUCGAAUACAAUUCGAUUGAAUCAAAAACUACCAAAUUAUUCUGGGGGAAUGUCCAAGUGAAAUUUCGUGUUACCAAAGUAAUUGCAAACUUUUGACGAGUGUUGGAUGUGUCGCUAGGGGCAACCUGAAUACAAUUUUUGUCCGAAAUUCCUUGAUCCCUAGUGCUGCAAGUGCACACACAGUGGUUGAUCGAAUGUGUGAAAAGUAAUUUGAGAGAGGCUCCACAGCCAUUAUUUGGGAAACUUAAAAGAUAGAAAACCGUUAGAUUUCUAUUCUGGAGAGACUUUGUGACGCCAUGAAAGAAAAACCAAAUUGUUAAAACAACAACCAAGGUCGUGAUGAUGAAUCGAGUCUCAUUUGAUCAGUGGGGCAGAGUCGUGCAGAGGCUCACGGUGCUUUGACCUUGACGCGAUACUAGCGCCACCACCACCAUUUUCUUUCUUUUUCCUCCGUUCUAAAUUCGUUUCUUUUUCGUCCAAUUCACCAGAAGAAAAAGAGAAUAUCUCACAUUGAGAAGAGAUAUGUGCACUACUACUCUCUCUCAGCUGUUUCCAAGGGUGAGUCUCUGCUGUGUGUGUGUGUCUAUUCGUUUUUCUUCCUCCGACCGACAAACACGUGAAUAAAAGAAAAAAAAAAGAUUAGACGAGACGAGAAUAUUAUCGGCGCAUGCGUUGGCACUCAGUCGCUCGUCGUCUGCCACCGUGUUCACAGUUCAAGUUCUUCUUGAUCGAGUGUGGUGUUUCGUUUGAUUCAUUCAACUAUUUGAACCGUAGAAUUUUUGGUUAUUAAACCAGUGUGGUUUGUCUAUCAUUUUGCCAGUGUGUGUCCAGUGCGAAAUAAUUGAAUUGGAGAUUUCGACAAUAACAACGUGUGUGGUUGUGUUUUUUAAUUAUUUGAAAUUCAACACUUCGUGGAAUUGGUCAUGGUCGGCCGCCAUUAUUACGAGCAGACAUUAUGACGGUGACGGUGGUGCUCUCUAGUGAUUCCGGUGGAAAGAUGAGCUUGUUCCAGGACCUGAAGCUCAAACGAAGAAAAGUCGAUUCACGAUGCAGUAGCGACGGUGAAAGUCUGAUGGAGACGGGCAGUUCGGCGUCGCCCGACUGUAGCGCGGCCACUCCGCCCAGGAGCGGCGAGGAAGGCUGCGGAAGUACCAGCGGCAAUCACGUUGGCGGAGCCGCAGACGAGGAAAAUCCGCCCAGCAACAGCAGCGCGGCGGGAGAACAACAGCAACAACAUCCGUCGGAUGAGAAUGGCGGAACGGCGACGGCCAGCAUCACGGUCGUCUGCAAUGGCCGGAUUAUUAAACAAGAAGAAGAUGAAGACGAAGAUGACGGAGUUGAAGAAGAUGAAGAGGAUGAAUCACCGGAAAGAUCCUCCCAGGCAUCCGCAUCCAGCGCCAGCGACGGCGGAUUCAUCUCCUCACCUGGACUCUCUCGCGGAAGUCGGUCGACGCCGGAUUCCCUGGGCGCCGACGACCACCUCCAGCUGCGACUAUGCGAGGAUUCCGGAACGGGUUCCGCUUUGAUGAUUGUUGUCAAGCAGGAAGCGAUGGAAGAGGAGGAAGAAGAGAUGGAGCGACAGCAGCAGCCACAGAAACGAGUGCGGAAUCGAGACGAGGUGGACGAGACGAUAAACGAGGCCGUCAAAUUGUCAAAGGCCAAAGCGACGACGGGCUCAUCAUUCCACGAUGAAGAUCCGCACCGGACGCGGAUCAAGGAGCCGGCAGCCGAAAGUUUCGGUUCCAAAGGAUCAACUUCCACCACCGCUUCCGCCGGAAGAAUGGAUCUUUCCGCUCAUUCACCAGCGGCGAUCGUCAAGACGGAAAGUCGACAACACAGUCCGUCGUCGGCCACUUCGGUCAGCAGUUCCGAACACAACGGCAUCCGCUCAUGGUCCAACCAAUCCUCGCCCAACGGCCAUACGACGACAAACAACAACAACCACAUGAGCAAACCAAUCCGGCCGGAAAUCAUUUUCAGCCAUCGGAGAGCCUCGACCUGCACCACGGUCGUCCACGGUGCCGUUCCGAUGGAUUCGUCGCCCAACGGCGGAUCCAGGACGUCGCCUUCCCUUGCGCCUGGCUCCUCGCCGGAUCACCAUCACCACAACGGAAGCAGCAAUAAACCGCAGUCCAAUCAUUCGGCGGCCGGAACGAAUCCCCGAGUGCCAUCGGUGAUCCUGGGCCAGUCUGGCGGAGUGAAGACGAUGGUGUGGACCGGCCAUUGGGCGGAUCAGCAGCAGCCGACGCCAUCCAGGCCGCGAUCGGUGCCCAACGGAUCGGAAGUUCAACAACCUCCUCCUCCUUUGAUGAUGGCCGUUCACCAGAACCGUCCAGGCAGCGUCAAGCAAAUGAAUAGCAACAACAUGCAAGAUGCCGCCAGCAUCCGGUUGUCCAUUGACGGAUUGCUCAGUUUGGCCCAGUCAUCGUCCGAUCGACGUCACGGCGUCGUAUCCAGGUCAUCUCCUCCGCAGCAGGCCAACAGUCCGAGCAGCAGCACCGUGAGCCCAACGGAGAGGCCGAGUGUGGUCAACAUCCAGCGAUUGAGUCCAACCUCAUCAUUAUCAUCCACAUCUUCUUCGUCUUCUUCUUCUUCGAAUGGCGUGGCCGCUGGAUCAUCGACUCCUCCGCAUUUUGCCACUCCGCUCCGGGUUCAGACGCCCACCACGUCGACGCCGUGCUCCUCCUCUUCCUCGUCGCUGUCGGCGUCGUCGUCCUCAUCAUCACGGCAUCACCACCAGGGAUCCGGUUCUCCUCCGGCCUUGGGUCUACUGACGGUGGCCAGGAACCAUCACCAUCCGCCAGGCGGAUAUCCUUUUCCGGACACGCCUCCGUCGAUGGAUCGGGCCACCAACGGUCACUUUAUGUCAUCCGCACGGUUAGCUGAGAGUACUGGCGGACACCACCAAGGGCUUCCGCCUUCCAUCUCGCGUCCGCCAGCUCUCCACCUCUCGUCGCGAUCCACCAAUUCGUCGUCUUCUUCAUCCUCCUCCUCUUCUUCCUCGUCGUCUUCUUCUUCCUCGCCUCCCAUUUCUGCGGCUUCCAGCGCCAUGGCUCCUCCCACUUCAUCCAGCCAGCCUCUCUCGAUGGAGCGGCUGUGGGAAAACGCCGAGCGAUCCGCCGCUGCCAUCAAGCAACAACAACAGCAGCAACAGCAGAGGCCAGAUUCCCAAGCGUUGGAUUAUUCCGUCUGUUCCGGCCGGUCGUCCAUCAUCGUCAGCUCCAACAAUGUCCACCACAACAACAGCAAUCACCUUCACAGCAACGGUCACCAUGACAACGGCACUCAUAAUCACCCGACAUCGGCCAUCCAUCAGCUUCCGUCGUCCAUCGUGACGACCAUCAACGGCGGAGGUCGCCCGUCCGCCGUCAACGGCAGCAACAGCCACAGCGACGGCAACCGGAUGGAGGAGGACGAUGAAGACACGCCCAUGAUUUGCAUGAUCUGCGAGGACAAAGCCACUGGACUCCAUUACGGAAUCAUCACCUGUGAAGGGUGCAAAGGCUUUUUCAAGCGGACGGUGCAGAAUAAGCGGGUGUACACUUGCGUGGCGGAAGGCAAUUGCGAGAUCACAAAGGCCCAGCGGAAUCGGUGCCAGUAUUGCCGUUUCCAAAAGUGCCUCGCCCAGGGCAUGGUCCUGGCCGCCGUCAGGGAGGACAGGAUGCCCGGCGGAAGGAAUUCCGGCGCUGUUUACAACCUCUACAAGGUCAAAUACCGGAAGCACAAGAAGAACAACAAUAAAAGUCCGCCGGGAACCACCGCCACCAACGGUGGUGUGACGGCCGUUUCGGCCGCAGCCGCCGCACUGGGCGUCAAGGCCGUUCUCGAAGCCAAUGCCAUUGCCAACGGCAAAAUCCAGCAACAACAGCAACAACAACAGCAGGUGAUGAGCACUAACGGAAUUCAUCGAAAGUCCCCGCCCGGCAUUGCCGUCAUGGAUCAACAACACCAUCAGCAACAACAACAACAACAGCAGCUCCAGCAGCUUCACCACCACGGGAUGAUGGGCGGAUCGGGCCAGCAGCAGCAGCAACAACAACAAGUGCCACGGAUCGCCAACGGCAACAUUCUCAAGACGGCGCUGACGAAUCCGAGCGAGGUGCUCCAUUUGAGGCGACGAUUGGAAAGCGCCGUCACGUCCAGCCGGGACGCCAUCAGUAUGCCUUACGAGACGGCCAUGCCCACCAUUUGCACGCUCAUUUAUUGUGAUGAGUUUGAAGAUAUUGCCACCUUGAAGUUGGACGAGUUGCUGGACACGAAAGCCGAGCUGUCGGACAAACUCUGCCAAAUCGGCGACUCGAUAGUCUACAAGCUGGUGCAGUGGACCAAACGUCUUCCGUUCUACUCUGAGCUGCCCGUCGAGGUGCACACGCGAUUGCUGACGCACAAAUGGCACGAGCUACUGGUGCUGACCACUUCGGCCUAUCAGGCCAUCCACGGGCCGCGCAAGACGUGGUCAGGACCAGAACCCACUGAACACGAUUUCGUCCAGCAGGUAUCGGCCAACCUAGUCACCCUUCAAACAUGUUUAGCCGCCAUGAUGGGUCGACCCUUGACCCUGGACCAGUUGAGACAGGACGUGGGACUCAUGGUGGAGCGCAUCACUCACGUCACGAUGAUGCUCCAAAGGAGCCAAUUGCGGAUGGAGGAGUAUGUCUGUCUCAAAGUCAUUGCCAUGCUCAGCCAACCUAAAGGUAGCGGCAGCGUCGAACUGGAAGCCAUUCAAGAACGAUACAUGCAGUGUCUGCAGAGCUAUGUCGAACACAACUAUCCACAAUCGCCUGGGCGAUUUUCUGAUCUCCUCACACGUUUACCUGAGGUCCAAUCGGCUGCUACCUUGCUGCUGGAGAGUAAAAUGUUUUACGUUCCUUUCCUGCUGAAUUCGGCCAUUCACAGAUAGCCGCUAUUUUUUAAAAAAAGAAAAAACAUCGUCCUCAAACAAGUUUAUUCGUCGUCGUCUUGAUUGUUAUCUUCGUCGUCCGUUCUCUCCCUUGUCGUCCUUUUGCCACCUUCCUCCGCAUUGUUUCAAUUCAAAACAAUUUGUUGUGCUUAAAAGACCAAUGCAUCCAAAAUCUCUCUCUCCUCUCACAGGGCCCACCCACCCGGAAGAAAAACUAAAUUACGGAAUGAUAGGUAUAUAUAUCAAUUCUUCUUCUUCUUUUUCUGGCCGCGUGAGAAAUUGUGUCUACCUGCCUGCGAGUGACUGUCAGUGUGUGCGUGCGUGUGUGGAAUUCUAAUUCUAAUCUCUCGAUCCAGUUUUGAAACGUCAACAAAUUUUGUACAACAAACAAAACAAAAACAAAAAAGAAGAAAAUUUAGCCAAAAGAGAAGAAAGGUGCGUCCGAAUUCCAAAAUUUGGAUGCAUCUUUAUAAUAUAAAUAAAUAAGCAUAUUUUUCUGGUUUACCCCCGUUAAACUGGACACCGACACUGAACGAAAAGAAAGAAGAAAUAGUUGAAAUUCUUUGGUUUUUUGUUUUCACCUCCUCUAUCCCUCCGCCAUGUUUUUUGUUUAAAAAUUUAAUUCGGGCUUAUCAGAGUUUGUUGUUUUUUCCCCCUAUUCUUGCUCUAAUGAAUUAACCAUGUAGGAACCACGUGUGACCACACAGCUAAAGCUAAGAGAAAAUGUGAGGAUUUUAUAAAUUCAAAUGUCUGUGCGUUUGUGUGUGAUUGUGUGGCCCUGCUGAAAGCGUCCCCCCACAAAAAAUUUUGAUUUCAAAAUUUCGCGGGCUAAAAUUUUUAAAUGUCAGAAUUUUUUUUUUUCAAUUUAUUUUGGUUGGUUUGAAUGAUUUUUGAUAUAUUCUAUACAUAUUCUAUACAUAGGAAAAGCAUAAGAGUGAGAGUAAAGAAACACAAGUUUUCCUAUUUUACAAUUGUUUGUGUGUGUGUCACAGUCUGGGGCUCUGGGCAUCCUCUCAAAGAGUUCAAAUUCAAUUUUGAAGAAUGGCCUACUCUUGAAAAGAGUUUUUUUUUUAAAGACAAAAUUUUAUUAUUAUUAUUUUUUAUUCUUUUGUUUUAUUUUUCUAAAGAAAAAAAGAAAUGAGUUUAAAUGUAUUUUCGUUUGUUUAUCUUUUAUUUUUUCAAAAUGUUGUGUGUCAUUUGUUUUGUGCAACUGCCAGUGUUUGACAUUCGACACGAAACAAAUGAGAAACGCGAGUCGCAUGUCCAGCAGAAAAAAUAAUAAUUUCCUUUCUGUUUUUCGGCGAUUUGCGUGAUGUAAUAUGCCGUUGUGGUCGGUUCCCAUGUGGUCAUUUUCAACAUUGCAAUUUCAGUGAGACUUUUUAUUUUAUUGAUUUGUAAAAAAUGAACUCAAUCAACGCUAGAGAUUU
This 6431-nucleotide unclassified non-coding RNA is filed under the name Daphnia pulex (common water flea). RNAcentral's name for it is "serine-rich adhesin for platelets-like, transcript variant X3". Lineage: Eukaryota; Metazoa; Arthropoda; Branchiopoda; Diplostraca; Daphniidae. The record is from RNAcentral.